AUAAGCUUCCGGACAGCGGCUGGUAAACUUGCUUGCCGAGACGUACAGACAUUGGACGGGGUAACAGGUAUGAGCACGCAGGCGUGUACGACGAAGUGCGAAUACCUGUCAGGAUUGCGGGAGUGCGAUGCACGGAGCAAUCUGCAGCUUAU
This 152-nucleotide small RNA is filed under the name Blautia hydrogenotrophica CAG:147. RNAcentral's name for it is "Clostridiales-1 RNA". It matches the Rfam family "Clostridiales-1 RNA". The record is from Rfam by way of RNAcentral. Lineage: Bacteria; Bacillati; Bacillota; Clostridia; Lachnospirales; Lachnospiraceae.